GAUGAACGCUAGCGGCAGGCCUAAUACAUGCAAGUCGGACGGGAUCCAUUGAUAGCUUGCUAUCAAUGGUGAGAGUGGCGCACGGGUGCGUAACGCGUGAGCAACCUGCCUCCAUCAGGGGGAUAGCCUCUCGAAAGAGAGAUUAACACCGCAUAAUAUCAACAGUUCGCAUGUUCAGUUGAUUAAAUAUUUAUAGGAUGGAGAUGGGCUCGCGUGACAUUAGCUAGUUGGUAGGGUAACGGCUUACCAAGGCGACGAUGUCUAGGGGCUCUGAGAGGAGAAUCCCCCACACUGGUACUGAGACACGGACCAGACUCCUACGGGAGGCAGCAGUAAGGAAUAUUGGUCAAUGGGCGGAAGCCUGAACCAGCCAUGCCGCGUGCAGGAUGACUGCCCUAUGGGUUGUAAACUGCUUUUGUCCAGGAAUAAGCCUAAAUACGAGUAUUUAGCUGAAUGUACUGGAAGAAUAAGGAUCGGCUAACUCCGUG
RNAcentral lists this ribosomal RNA (488 nucleotides) under uncultured bacterium. Its description in RNAcentral is "partial 16S ribosomal RNA". It matches the Rfam family "Bacterial small subunit ribosomal RNA", at positions 28 to 507 of the family's 1533-position model. The record is from RNAcentral.